This 433-nucleotide ribosomal RNA is filed under the name uncultured bacterium. RNAcentral's name for it is "partial 16S ribosomal RNA". It matches the Rfam family "Bacterial small subunit ribosomal RNA", at positions 28 to 507 of the family's 1533-position model. The record is from RNAcentral.
GGCGAACGCUGGCGGCGUGCCUAACACAUGCAAGUCGAACGAGACCUUCGGGUCUAGUGGCGCACGGGUGCGUAACGCGUGGGAACCUGCCCUUAGGUUCGGAAUAACUCCCCGACAGGGGUGCUAAUACCGGAUAAUGUCUUCGGACCAAAGAUUUCUCGCCUUUGGAUGGGCCCGCGUUGGAUUAGCUAGUUGGUAGGGUAAAAGCCUACCAAGGCGACGAUCCAUAGCUGGUCUGAGAGGAUGAUCAGCCACACUGGGACUGAGACACGGCCCAGACUCCUACGGGAGGCAGCAGUGGGGAAUAUUGGACAAUGGGCGAAAGCCUGAUCCAGCAAUGCCGCGUGAGGGAUGAAGGCCUUAGGGUUGUAAAGCUCUUGUACCCGGGAUGAUAAUGACAGUACCGGGAGAAUAAGCUCCGGCUAACUCCGUG